AGGACUAACGCUGGCGGCGUGCCUAACACAUGCAAGUCGAACGAAGUAGCAAUACUUAGUGGCAGACGGGUGAGUAACACGUAGUCAACCUGCCCUUCAAUGGGGGAUAACUAGCCGAAAGGUUAGCUAAUACCGCAUACGAUCUCUGAGUGGCAUCACUGGGCGAUGAAAGGAGUAAUCCGUUGAAGGAGGGGACUGCGUCCCAUUAGUUAGUUGGUGGGGUAAUGGCCUACCAAGACUCCGAUGGGUAGCUGGCUUGAGAGAGCGACCAGCCACACUGGAACUGAGACACGGUCCAGACUCCUACGGGAGGCAGCAGUGAGGAAUUUUCCGCAAUGGGGGAAACCCUGACGGAGCGACGCCGCGUGUGGGAAGAAGGCCUUCGGUCGUAACCACUGUCGAGGGGGACGAUAUUGACGGUACCCUCGGAGGAAGCCCGGCUAACUACGUGCCAGCAGCCGC
This 462-nucleotide ribosomal RNA is filed under the name uncultured bacterium. RNAcentral's name for it is "SSU rRNA". It matches the Rfam family "Bacterial small subunit ribosomal RNA", at positions 26 to 518 of the family's 1533-position model. The record is from RNAcentral.